Molecule: ribosomal RNA, 844 nt
Filed under: uncultured Abiotrophia sp.
Lineage: Bacteria; Bacillati; Bacillota; Bacilli; Lactobacillales; Aerococcaceae
Description: bacterial SSU rRNA
Rfam family: Bacterial small subunit ribosomal RNA
Source: RNAcentral
AACCGCGACUAGGUGCUUGCACUUGGUCAAGGUGAGUGGCGAACGGGUGAGUAACACGUGGGUAACCUACCUCAUAGUGGGGGAUAACAGUCGGAAACGACUGCUAAUACCGCAUAGGACAUGGAAUCACAUGAUUCUGUGAGGAAAGGUGGCGCAAGCUAUCGCUAAGAGAUGGACCCGCGGUGCAUUAGCUAGUUGGUAGGGUAAAGGCCUACCAAGGCGAUGAUGCAUAGCCGACCUGAGAGGGUGAUCGGCCACAUUGGGACUGAGACACGGCCCAAACUCCUACGGGAGGCAGCAGUAGGGAAUCUUCCGCAAUGGACGCAAGUCUGACGGAGCAACGCCGCGUGAGUGAAGAAGGUCUUCGGAUCGUAAAGCUCUGUUGUUAGAGAAGAACAGCGCAUAGAGUAACUGCUAUGCGUGUGACGGUAUCUAACCAGAAAGCCACGGCUAACUACGUGCCAGCAGCCGCGGUAAUACGUAGGUGGCGAGCGUUGUCCGGAUUUAUUGGGCGUAAAGGGAGUGUAGGCGGUCUUUUAAGUCUGAUGUGAAAGCCCACGGCUCAACCGUGGAGGGUCAUUGGAAACUGGGAGACUUGAGUGCAGAAGAGGAGAGCGGAAUUCCAUGUGUAGCGGUGAAAUGCGUAGAUAUAUGGAGGAACACCAGUGGCGAAGGCGGCUCUCUGGUCUGUAACUGACGCUGAGGCUCGAAAGCGUGGGGAGCAAACAGGAUUAGAUACCCUGGUAGUCCACGCCGUAAACGAUGAGUGCUAAGUGUUGGAGGGGUUCCACCCUUCAGUGCUGGAGUUAACGCAAUAAGCACUCCGCCUGGGGAGUACGGCCGC